This 253-nucleotide ribosomal RNA is filed under the name uncultured bacterium. RNAcentral's name for it is "partial 16S ribosomal RNA". It matches the Rfam family "Bacterial small subunit ribosomal RNA", at positions 524 to 776 of the family's 1533-position model. The record is from RNAcentral.
GACAGAGAGUGCAAACGUUGUUCGGAAUUACUGGGCGUAAAGCGAGUGUAGGCGGUUCGGUAAGUCGGAUGUGAAAGCCCCGGGCUCAACCCGGGAAGUGCACUCGAUACUGCCGAGCUAGAGUAUCGGAGAGGUUGGUGGAAUUCUCGGUGUAGAGGUGAAAUUCGUAGAUAUCGAGAGGAACACCGGUGGCGAAGGCGGCCAACUGGACGAAUACUGACGCUGAGACUCGAAAGCGUGGGGAGCAAACAGG